AAUGAUUGGCUCUCAUAUGUCGAAGCACAACUGCUUACUCACUUGGGACAUUUAUAUGGGCUGUCUCUCUCACACAGUUCUGCCCAGCUUCACACAUCUAGCAUCCCUGUGCAGUUCUUCUGGCAUUUUUAGCCACCCAGCAAGCACCAUAACCACCACCACAGCAAGAAAACAUCCUAGCAAAGGAACAGUGCUCGUCAUGUCAGUGUCCACAAUAUCAGAGCUCAUAUCCAGCAGGGAGGAUUCAGACAUCUGGCAUAUGUAUGUGUGGUGAAGGUUCAUCACCUAAAGGAAUAAAGAGGAGAAACAACCUAUGAUGUACAAACAAACCAGCGGGGAGCAGAUGCUGCACAUCAUCUUUUAAAAAGUGAUUGACCUUCCCUCAUUAGAAGCGGCAGUAAGAGUCAGUAUGCUAACUCCGAGCCCAUGCUACAACUUAGAAACAUCUAACAGUUAUAGAACCACAGUAAAGACUCCACAGUAAAAAAUGCAAGAUGUGUAUUCCAUUCAAACUCUGAAUUCUCCACUCUAUUUACACCUAUUUAAGUCUACUGGACU
Molecule: long non-coding RNA, 558 nt
Organism: Mauremys mutica (yellowpond turtle)
Lineage: Eukaryota; Metazoa; Chordata; Testudines; Geoemydidae
Exons: 3
Source: RefSeq, a predicted model, not a curated record